This 511-nucleotide ribosomal RNA is filed under the name uncultured Glomus. RNAcentral's name for it is "SSU rRNA". It matches the Rfam family "Eukaryotic small subunit ribosomal RNA", at positions 569 to 1085 of the family's 1831-position model. The record is from RNAcentral. Lineage: Eukaryota; Fungi; Glomeromycota; Glomeromycetes; Glomerales; Glomeraceae.
AGCAGCCGCGGUAAUUCCAGCUCCAAUAGCGUAUAUUAAAGUUGCUGCAGUUAAAAAGCUCGUAGUUGAAUUUCGGGACUAAUAUGUCGGUCGUGCCUCGGUACGUACUGGUUUAUUGGUUUCUCCUUUCUGAAGAACCAUGAUGUCAUUUAUUUGGUGUCGUGGGAAAUCAGGACUGUUACUUUGAAAAAUUAGAGUGUUUAAAGCAGGCUCACGCUUGAAUACAUUAGCAUGGAAUAAUGAGAUAGGACGUUUGAUUCUAUUUUGUUGGUUUCUAGGAUCGACGUAAUGAUUAAUAGGGAUAGUUGGGGCAUUAGUAUUCAAUUGUCAGAGGUGAAAUUCUUGGAUUUAUUGAAGACUAACUACUGCGAAAGCAUUUGCCAAGGAUGUUUUCAUUAAUACAAGAACGAAAGUUAGGGGAUCGAAGACGAUCAGAUACCGUCGUAGUCUUAACCAUAAACUAUAGCCGACUAGGGAUCGGAUGAUGUUAAUUUUAAUGACUCAUUCGGCG